Molecule: ribosomal RNA, 378 nt
Filed under: uncultured bacterium
Lineage: Bacteria
Description: partial 16S ribosomal RNA
Rfam family: Bacterial small subunit ribosomal RNA
Source: RNAcentral
CCUACGGGAGGCAGCAGUGAGGAAUAUUGCACAAUGGGGGAAACCCUGAUCCAGCGACGCCGCGUGAGUGACGAAGUAUUUCGGUAUGUAAAGCUCUAUCAGCAGGGAAGAAAAUGAAGGUUCCUGACUAUGAAGCCGCGGCUUAAUACGUGCCAGCAGCCGCGGUAAUACGCAGGGAGCAAGCGUUAUACGGAUUUUCUGGGCGUAAAGGGAGCGUAGGCGGGAGGGCAAGUCUGAAGUGAGAGUCCGCGGCCCAACUGCGGGAGUGCCGUGGAAACUGCCCGUCUAGAGUGCUGGAGAGGUAAGCGGAUUGCGCAGUGUAGCGGUGAAAUGCGUAGAUAUUGGGAGGAACACCAGUGGCGAAGGCGGCAUACUGGA